CGGGGUGUAGCUCAGCCUGGUAGAGCACUGCCUUCGGGAGGCAGGGGCCCGGGGUUCAAAUCCCCGCACCCCGACCA
Molecule: transfer RNA, 77 nt
Filed under: Gammaproteobacteria bacterium
Lineage: Bacteria; Pseudomonadati; Pseudomonadota; Gammaproteobacteria
Description: tRNA-Pro
Rfam family: tRNA
About the family: Transfer RNA (tRNA) molecules are approximately 80 nucleotides in length. Their secondary structure includes four short double-helical elements and three loops (D, anti-codon, and T loops). Further hydrogen bonds mediate the characteristic L-shaped molecular structure. tRNAs have two regions of fundamental functional importance: the anti-codon, which is responsible for specific mRNA codon recognition, and the 3' end, to which the tRNAs corresponding amino acid is attached (by aminoacyl-tRNA synthetases). tRNAs cope with the degeneracy of the genetic code in two manners: having more than one tRNA (with a specific anti-codon) for a particular amino acid; and 'wobble' base-pairing, i.e. permitting non-standard base-pairing at the 3rd anti-codon position.
Source: RNAcentral